GAAUAUUGGACAAUGGGUGAGAGCCUGAUCCAGCCAUCCCGCGUGAAGGACGACGGCCCUAUGGGUUGUAAACUUCUUUUGUACAGGGAUAAACCCAGAUACGUGUAUCUGGCUGAAGGUACUGUACGAAUAAGCACCGGCUAACUCCGUGCCAGCAGCCGCGGUAAUACGGAGGGUGCAAGCGUUAUCCGGAUUUAUUGGGUUUAAAGGGUCCGUAGGCGGGCCCGUAAGUCAGUGGUGAAAUCUCGCAGCUUAACUGUGAAACUGCCAUUGAUACUGCGGGUCUUGAGUAAAUUUGAAGUGGCUGGAAUAAGUAGUGUAGCGGUGAAAUGCAUAGAUAUUACUUAGAACACCAAUUGCGAAGGCAGGUCACUAAGAUUUAACUGACGCUGAUGGACGAAAGCGUGGGGAGCGAACAG
RNAcentral lists this ribosomal RNA (419 nucleotides) under uncultured bacterium. Its description in RNAcentral is "partial 16S ribosomal RNA". It matches the Rfam family "Bacterial small subunit ribosomal RNA", at positions 359 to 775 of the family's 1533-position model. The record is from RNAcentral.